UACGGGUAGUGCUCGACAAUCGGCAACAGAUACCUAGAGAUCGGAGCAGUGAGAAGAUCGCACUUUCAACUUCUGACGUCGUUUGAGGAAUGUGUUUUACAGUUUUCGGGAUUCCGUUUUCGGUGAGGGAGAGGAGUUUCGCCAGCGACGGUGGAUUUGGUCACAAAGAGAACCGACUUUCAGGGAUUUAGGGAUUUCGUUUCCUCUUCCUUUCCUUCACGGCAUUUUGGGUCGUCGCUGGUGGUCACUUUCGUCACAGCGACGAGUGAGUUUUAGAGAUUUAGGGAUUUUGUUUUCUCUUCCUUUCGUUCAGGGCAUAUGGGGUUCACCGGCAGUCGUCUAUUUCACGAGAGAGAGGGCUGGAUUUUAGGGAUUUAGUUUUCUCCUCCUUUCCUUCACGGGAUUUUUCUUCUUCGAAUGGGGGGGGGAUUGGAGCUUGCAUUUUCAUUUUUGC
RNAcentral lists this long non-coding RNA (454 nucleotides) under Olea europaea (common olive). RNAcentral describes it as "long non-coding RNA (OEUR_LNC004156)". Lineage: Eukaryota; Viridiplantae; Streptophyta; Magnoliopsida; Lamiales; Oleaceae. The record is from RNAcentral.